Molecule: ribosomal RNA, 450 nt
Filed under: uncultured bacterium
Lineage: Bacteria
Description: partial 16S ribosomal RNA
Rfam family: Bacterial small subunit ribosomal RNA
Source: RNAcentral
GUGGGGAAUAUUGGACAAUGGGCGAAAGCCUGAUCCAGCCAUGCCGCGUGUGUGAAGAAGGUCUUCGGAUUGUAAAGCACUUUAAGUUGGGAGGAAGGGCAGUAAGUUAAUACCUUGCUGUUUUGACGUUACCAACAGAAUAAGCACCGGCUAACUUCGUGCCAGCAGCCGCGGUAAUACGAAGGGUGCAAGCGUUAAUCGGAAUUACUGGGCGUAAAGCGCGCGUAGGUGGUUUUGUAAGUUGGAGGUGAAAUCCCCGGGCUCAACCUGGGAACUGCCUCCAAAACUGCAUGACUAGAGUACGGUAGAGGGUAGCGGAAUUUCCUGUGUAGCGGUGAAAUGCGUAGAUAUAGGAAGGAACACCAGUGGCGAAGGCGACUACCUGGACUGAUACUGACACUGAGGUGCGAAAGCGUGGGGAGCAAACAGGAUUAGAUACCCCGGUAGUCC